Arachis ipaensis is the source of this 330-nucleotide non-coding RNA. Lineage: Eukaryota; Viridiplantae; Streptophyta; Magnoliopsida; Fabales; Fabaceae. The record is from RefSeq and is a predicted model, not a curated record.
CCGCCACGUGAAGGCCAUCCCUGCUUCCUGGAGGCGUGGACAGGUCUCCUUUAGUUCAGUUGUCGGCUUCAGUUCUACAAGCAUUCUCAAACGGCUGUAACAGGGAAAAAAAAGUUGCAAUUGUUAGAGUUUCGAUGUUGCUGUUUGCAAUUGGUAGGAAUUGAAAGCUGCUUUACUUUCGAUGUUAAAUGACCAUCCUGUAUGCCGCAACCAAUCCAAAAGCAAACUUAAGAAAAUGAGAACCCCCUUCACAGUACCGAGCAUGAAGACCAUGCUGCAGCGUACGGGGUUACCUACGAAAAAGCCAAACAAGGGGGAAAGACAACAGAA